This 1444-nucleotide long non-coding RNA is filed under the name Junco hyemalis (dark-eyed junco). RNAcentral describes it as "lncRNA (ENSJHYG00000016354.1)". The record is from RNAcentral. Lineage: Eukaryota; Metazoa; Chordata; Aves; Passeriformes; Passerellidae.
GUUUUGGCAGCCAAAAGUAUAAUUAGAGUUUCAUCCGCAUGUAUCUGGCUUACAGAGCCCGCAUAAUGCAAACCUCCGUCUCCUGCCGGCAGCCCCAAGGACGCGUGUGCGGAGUUUUCACGGCGGUGCCCGAUGCGCGGCACUGAUCCCGCCCGGCUCCGGCCCGGCUGUGCCCCGCGCACCAUGGGCCGCCCGCAGGGACUCGCUGGCCGGACUUCGGGCGCCUCCCUGUUGCUUCCCCUUGGAAGCGCACGCCGGAAGAUGCUGCUGCGCUUUGCCGGAGGUGCGAAGCCGCUCGCUGUGGCCCGUAGGGCGGCGGCCAGACGCGGUGCUGAGAAAGUUUCCCGGUGCCCGAGGGCGACUUUGACGCGAGAGCGGCGGGGGCUGCCGGGCCGACCCGGGGCGUUCCGGCUGCGCUCUCGGGUGCCGGAGCCGCGUCCGCGGGGGCCGGGCCGGGCCGGGGGGAAGGGGCGUUGCCAUCUGCUGUUAAUUCCGCGGUCAUUGGAUUAGUAACCAGCGGUGAUGAGAUCAGCGGGAUCGGCUUUCGCGAGGGGGCACGGCGCUCCCCAGCUGUGCCGGCUCUCGCAUGAGGCGGCGGCGGGCGGCGCAGGGGGAGGCAGCGCGCACAAAGCCCGGUAGCCGCCGCAGGCCGCCGCCCCCGGGCAGGGCUCCCGGGCGGCCCGGCCGCCCCGAGCCCGGCAGCGCCCGCGGGCCCCCGGGCGCGGCGCCCGCCCCGCUCCGAGCCGCGGCUCCCCCGGCUCCUGUCGCCUCCCCGGGCAGCCGCAGGCAGCGGGAGCAGCCUCUGCUGGGCGGGCGCUCCGGGCGGGGGGCACGGGCUCCGAGCGUGCGAGCUCGGCCACGGCGGCUCCCGAGUUUGUUUACUUGUGCUUCGCCGCUCGUCGCCGGUGUCUGCUCUCUGCCGGCACAGCGGAUCGGUGGCGGUGCCCUGCCGGGGGUUUAUGCUAAUGUGCCUCGGUGUCUUGCUGCUGACUCCGGAUGUCCUUGGAUGACCGUCCUGUGCUUCAGUGACCCUGCCAGGACUGAAGGCAGACUCGGUACUUCCCUGCAUCGCCAGGAUGAGAAAACUCCCCAGCGCCGUGCCUUCCUGCGGCCCCCAUGUGGGUGUUGCUCUGGAAGUACGCACUGGUGCUGCUGGGCUCCGGGAGCCCUGGGUUCGCUCCCGUCCCAUCCCAUCGGGCUGUUUGUCUUUGCAAAUGUCACUGCAGCCAGCUCUGAGGCACCGGCUUCCUGCUCAACAGGCUCUGGGCUCGGGACUGAGAAAGCAGUGCCACCUUUUUGCAAGGAGCUUUUCAGAGUUGUGAGACUUAAGGGUUUUUUUGUGUGUGUGUGUGGGGGGUUGUUUGGGUUUGUUUGUUUUGGAAAGGUUGUUAAUGGUGGGGUUUUUUUGUUUUGGCUUGGAUAUUUGGUUUUUUUUUAAGAGAAG